GAUCUUGGCAGUGCUAUUGGAAAGGUUUAAUAAAUAUCUACACGAACCAAAUUUUGUGAAUGAUACACUGGGCAAGAUAGAAACAAAGACUGGCGUAAAACGAUUGUACAUUGCAAAG
Molecule: long non-coding RNA, 118 nt
Organism: Protopterus annectens (West African lungfish)
Lineage: Eukaryota; Metazoa; Chordata; Ceratodontiformes; Protopteridae
Exons: 3
Source: RefSeq, a predicted model, not a curated record